GGUCCCAUGGUGUAACGGAUAACACAUCGGUUUCCGAAACCGAUAAUUCGAGUUCGAUUCUCGAUGGGGCUACCA
This 75-nucleotide transfer RNA is filed under the name Rubritalea profundi. Its description in RNAcentral is "tRNA-Arg". It matches the Rfam family "tRNA". Rfam says of the family: Transfer RNA (tRNA) molecules are approximately 80 nucleotides in length. Their secondary structure includes four short double-helical elements and three loops (D, anti-codon, and T loops). Further hydrogen bonds mediate the characteristic L-shaped molecular structure. tRNAs have two regions of fundamental functional importance: the anti-codon, which is responsible for specific mRNA codon recognition, and the 3' end, to which the tRNAs corresponding amino acid is attached (by aminoacyl-tRNA synthetases). tRNAs cope with the degeneracy of the genetic code in two manners: having more than one tRNA (with a specific anti-codon) for a particular amino acid; and 'wobble' base-pairing, i.e. permitting non-standard base-pairing at the 3rd anti-codon position. Lineage: Bacteria; Pseudomonadati; Verrucomicrobiota; Verrucomicrobiia; Verrucomicrobiales; Rubritaleaceae. The record is from RNAcentral.